GAUGAAGAACGUAGCGAAAUGCGAUACUUGGUGUGAAUUGCAGAAUCCCGUGAACCAUCGAGUCUUUGAACGCAAGUUGCGCCCGAAGCCAUUAGGCCGAGGGCACGCCUGCCUGGGCGUCACACGUCGUUGCCCCCCCCAUCUACUCCUUCGGGAUUGCGGGGGGCGGAUGAUGGCCUCCCGUGCGCCUCGCCGCGCGGUUGGCAUAGAUGCCAAGUCCUCGGCGACGCACGCCACGACAAUCGGUGGUUGCGAAACCUCGGUUGCCCGUCGUGUGCGGUCGUCGCGCAUCGAGGGCUCGAAAAAAUUGCCGAGUUCCGGCUCGGCUUUCAACGCGACCCCAGGUCAGGCGGGGUUACCCGCUGAAUUUGAGCAUAUCAAUAAGCGGAGGA
This 392-nucleotide unclassified non-coding RNA is filed under the name soil metagenome. RNAcentral's name for it is "partial contains 5.8S ribosomal RNA, internal transcribed spacer 2, and large subunit ribosomal RNA". The stretch from base 1 to 122 matches the Rfam family "5.8S ribosomal RNA", at positions 35 to 154 of the family's 154-position model. The record is from RNAcentral.